AGCCCACAUCGCCGGUGCACACAUACACACACACACACGCACACACAAACCUGCUUUGACCUUCUCUGCCUCGCCGUUCUUGCCGCUAUCAACGAAUCAUGUCUCCCCACAACAAGCGUGGGAAGGCCAAGGAGGCUGCGAACAAGCAGCGAAAGGCGAACCAGCAUCAACGCCACAGCACGUCCACGGGGCACCACACGUACUUCGGCACCCGAGGCGGUGGCGGCGACUCCUACCUGUCCACCCAUACCUCCGCCAAGCAGAACAAAGUAAAGCACACUUACGAUGACACGGACCCGUUAGACCAACAGCUCUUCGAUUAUAUCAUUGUCGUGGACGUGGAGGCGACGUGUGAGCAGAACAGCCGGAACUACCCCCACGAGGUCAUCGAGAUUCCUGGUGUCCUUAUCGACGUCCGCACCGGUCAGGUCGAUCGAGCCCGCUCCUUUCACACCUUCGUGAAGCCCUGGCGCAACUCCAGGCUGACCCCCUUCUGCACCCAGCUCACCGGUAUCACACAAGAGGUCGUGGACGCUGCCCCGAGCAUUACCGAGGCCAUCCAGCUCUUCGAGAAAUGGUACCGGGAGACCAUUCCCAGAGGCGCCAAGACCAUCUUCGCCGCCGACGGCCCAUGGGAUUUCAAGAACUUCAUCCACGAGCAUCACAUCCUGCGCGAUCAUGUAGGCUUUCCCAGCAUCUUCUACGAAUACCUCGAUAUCCGCACCACCUUUGCCCACCACCUGAACCACGGCGUGCCGAUUAAACUAGACGCCAUGCUGCGCAAGAUGAACCUGCGCUUCGACGGCAGGCCGCACAACGGCUUCGACGACGCAUACAACAUUGCGCGGCUCGCUGUUGCGAUGAUGAAGGCCGGCUGCGUGCUUGACUUCGUAAUAGCCAUUCCACUAGAUGAUGCGUACCACUAUCACCUGGACGGUGUACCGCUCUACCGACGUGAGGAGGGUAGCGGGCACGUCGAUCGCGACGUCGUGGAGGACAUCGCGAAGCGGUGCUACGGUGCCGACUACUUCAAGUUCGGCCAGCGUCACCGCGACGCUGUCCGCGCUUAUCGCCUCGAACACCCCAAGGAGUUCAGCCACGCCAACGUGGUGGCGCUGAAGCGGCGCAACGACCGCGCGUUAGCUCGGCAACGGCAGCGGCAGUGGCGCCUCACAGUGCUGUUUCUCUUCGCACUCCUGCUGGUAGAAAUAGCGUACGCGCUGCAACUGCACCGCGCUGCCGCAGCGUGGCUGGCGUCCGCCUUUGCCAGCCACAGCCUAACCAGCUGCAGCGCUUCUGCCUCACAAAGCGUGUAGGGUGGUGCACGGAGCGGCUUAUCGACAGCGCCAACAUGGCGACGCUCACGCGCGUCUUCGGGUGCACCCCACGACGUGCGCGUGUGCGUGUGGACGACUGCGCUGGGGAAUAGCUUCGUGGCUGCUGAUGUUUUUCAAUUUUGUAAGUAACUAAGAUAAUCGUAAACACCGUUGGCUGAUUGCGAAUACGCCGCCUUCUCACUCUGUCACCGCAUGACCCGCCGACACCCCCGCACACUGACGCGAGCGGGCUACCCUGCGCACUUGGCGCGGGAGGUGUACACACCGGGCCACGGCGUUGCCACAGGGGUUCGGCAGCCCUCGUGCGGGCAUGCAGGCGCCGGCCCUUUUGGAGCUUCGCACGCACACGGCAUCUUUCGUCGGCAGCGGUCGUGCUGAGCGGGCUGCCCCCGUCGGACGUCUGAGGCUGGUACCCUGUGCCCCUUUCAGGGCGACAAGCCGUGACCUUUUCGCGCUCAGGCAGAUGCUUGCCCGCGGCCUCUCCCUCAGCACACCCACGCCUGGGAAAGGCGGGCGGAUGUAGGGGAGGGACAAAAGGCCCCUGCCGCUGCAGACGCAUAGCGGCGUCCCGGCUGUUGCGGCGCGUGCGGGCAGGCCAUCCACACACGCCCCCACCCCCGGCGAUAUCGACGGAAAUGGAAGAUGAUGGGGGCCAUCCCCCGACAACGACGUCGCCCGGAAACAUGCCCUGAAGCGCCGAGAUGCGGGCGCUGCCGUGCGCGGCUGGCGUGGUGCAUCGCACCAAAACAAAGCGCGCGGGCGUGAGAAGCGCACGGCGGACGGACGGAAAAGGCGCGAGCGUCUUUGCGCCAGUCAACCUCAAAGUGCGUGCGUGCGAGGCGUGCGGCGCCCUCUGCGUCCGGCCGGGUGGGCCGAUGUGGCGCAGACGCCGGAAGCAUGACGAGGACACCCCGGGCCGCACCGUCGGGUGCCCCAGCCUCCAGUGCGGGGGGUCCCCGCGCCAUGUUGUGGGGUGCCGCGGCUCGGGGCGGCUCGGGGGGGGGGUGCUGUGGGCGGGCUCCCUCCCCGCGCAUGCCGGGCACAUGCGCCUUGGCCACCCCUCGCCGACCGCCCGGCGGACGCGAUUGCUUUCGUUCUCGAGCAGAACCCUGAAUGCGACCCGCUGGGAUCAGAGCAUGCGGCGGCGCCAGGUUCGUGCGGCGCCAAUCGCGCAGCGCGUGUCCCGGCAAGGGGCGGGGCAGGACAGGAAAGGCCGGGUGGACGCAUGACCCGCACAGAGGGGCAGACGGCGUGUCCUAGGCGACAAGGCUUUAGCCGCGGCAAAAGAGAGGCAGACGAGCCGUGGUUGUGUAUGCGCAUAUUUGCUAACCGACACGCGGCACAGAGGCGUCUUGAAGGCAAGACCUGUGUGCUCCGCGCCGUGCUUGUGAGAAGCACACAGGGAGGAGGGCGGAAGAGAGAGGCGGAGGACCGCUUGUACAGUUUUGCUCUGCUUGGACUUGGCAUGUUGCCGCUGGCUUUUUUUUUCCUCUGCUCUAGUGUCUGUCUGCGUGUCGCCACGUACCCGAGUAUCAUC
RNAcentral lists this unclassified non-coding RNA (2874 nucleotides) under Leishmania donovani. RNAcentral's name for it is "gene:LdHU3.29.0810(CDS-product:Exonuclease_putati ve)". The record is from RNAcentral. Lineage: Eukaryota; Euglenozoa; Kinetoplastea; Trypanosomatida; Trypanosomatidae.